CAAUGCUGAUGGAGCUUGUUAAAAAUAAUACGUUAAUUAAAUUUGUGACUGACCUCUUUGGGGGAGAAUUGUAUGCCUCUGGCUCUGUUUUACCCACAUUCUGCCAUAUAUUUCAUGUUAUAGCCAUCUUGGAUAAUGACCCAGCAUAUGUUGUUAAUUUUAA
Dermochelys coriacea (leatherback sea turtle) is the source of this 163-nucleotide long non-coding RNA. RefSeq lists it as uncharacterized. NCBI's taxonomy places the organism in Eukaryota, Metazoa, Chordata, Testudines, Dermochelyidae. The transcript is spliced from 3 exons. The record is from RefSeq and is a predicted model, not a curated record.